This 63-nucleotide ribosomal RNA is filed under the name uncultured bacterium. RNAcentral's name for it is "partial 16S ribosomal RNA". The record is from RNAcentral.
GAAAUGGCUGCGCUAACCCGCGAAGGGAGGCAGGUCCUUAAGGAGUGAUUGGUAACUGGGGUG